This 334-nucleotide ribosomal RNA is filed under the name uncultured bacterium. RNAcentral describes it as "bacterial SSU rRNA". It matches the Rfam family "Bacterial small subunit ribosomal RNA", at positions 144 to 507 of the family's 1533-position model. The record is from RNAcentral.
UAACUGCUCGAAAGAGUAGCUAAUACCCAUAGUAUCCGGUUAUCCGGAUUAAAGAUUUAUCGCUUCGGGAGGGGCCUGCGUCUGAUUAGCUAGUUGGCGAGGUAAAAGCUCACCAAGGCGACGAUCAGUAGCUGGUUCGAGAGGAUGACCAGCCACACUGGGACUGAGAUACGGCCCAGACUCCUACGGGAGGCAGCAGUGAGGAAUCUUCCACAAUGGGCGCAAGCCUGAUGGAGCAAUACCGCGUGCAGGAAGACGCUUUUCGGAGUGUAAACUGCUUUUGUCGUCGAAGAUUAUGACUGUAGACGAAGAAUAAGGACCGGCUAACUACGUG